Molecule: ribosomal RNA, 1222 nt
Filed under: Bacillus siamensis
Lineage: Bacteria; Bacillati; Bacillota; Bacilli; Caryophanales; Bacillaceae
Description: bacterial SSU rRNA
Rfam family: Bacterial small subunit ribosomal RNA
Source: RNAcentral
GUAAACGGGCUCCACCAAAGCGACCGAUGCGUAGGCGGACUGAGGAGGUGAUCCGUCACACUGGACUGAGACACGCCCAGACUCUACGGGAGGCAGCAGUAGGGAAUCUCGCAAUGACGAAAGUCUGACGGAGCAACGCCGCGUGAGUGAUGAAGGUUUUCGGAUCGUAAAGCUCUGUUGUUAGGGAAGAACAAGUGCCGUUCAAAUAGGGCGGCACUUUGACGGUACCUAACCAGAAAGCCACGGCUAACUACGUGCCAGCAGCCGCGGUAAUACGUAGGUGGCAAGCGUUGUCCGGAAUUAUUGGGCGUAAAGGGCUCGCAGGCGGUUUCUUAAGUCUGAUGUGAAAGCCCCCGGCUCAACCGGGGAGGGUCAUUGGAAACUGGGGAACUUGAGUGCAGAAGAGGAGAGUGGAAUUCCACGUGUAGCGGUGAAAUGCGUAGAGAUGUGGAGGAACACCAGUGGCGAAGGCGACUCUCUGGUCUGUAACUGACGCUGAGGAGCGAAAGCGUGGGGAGCGAACAGGAUUAGAUACCCUGGUAGUCCACGCCGUAAACGAUGAGUGCUAAGUGUUAGGGGGUUUCCGCCCCUUAGUGCUGCAGCUAACGCAUUAAGCACUCCGCCUGGGGAGUACGGUCGCAAGACUGAAACUCAAAGGAAUUGACGGGGGCCCGCACAAGCGGUGGAGCAUGUGGUUUAAUUCGAAGCAACGCGAAGAACCUUACCAGGUCUUGACAUCCUCUGACAAUCCUAGAGAUAGGACGUCCCCUUCGGGGGCAGAGUGACAGGUGGUGCAUGGUUGUCGUCAGCUCGUGUCGUGAGAUGUUGGGUUAAGUCCCGCAACGAGCGCAACCCUUGAUCUUAGUUGCCAGCAUUCAGUUGGGCACUCUAAGGUGACUGCCGGUGACAAACCGGAGGAAGGUGGGGAUGACGUCAAAUCAUCAUGCCCCUUAUGACCUGGGCUACACACGUGCUACAAUGGACAGAACAAAGGGCAGCGAAACCGCGAGGUUAAGCCAAUCCCACAAAUCUGUUCUCAGUUCGGAUCGCAGUCUGCAACUCGACUGCGUGAAGCUGGAAUCGCUAGUAAUCGCGGAUCAGCAUGCCGCGGUGAAUACGUUCCCGGGCCUUGUACACACCGCCCGUCACACCACGAGAGUUUGUAACACCCGAAGUCGGUGAGGUAACCUUUAGGAGCCAGCCGCCGAAUGGUGACAGGAGG